AUAAAUUAACCCAAGCCUAAGAAAAGGAUCUGAACCCUAAGAAAUCUUUAGGCCAAAAUGAGUAUCCGAGAACCCAAUCUUAGCUGCCACCAACCUUUAUGCUUUCUUGCUUUCUUCUCUAACAAGCUCUUUAUUGGCUUUUCAACUAUUCAGGGGAGAAAACUUCAACCUGCUCAACACUUGCAAACCCCAUAAGAACCAAGGAUAUGCAGCAACGCCAGAAGAAACAACGGGAAUUAGGGCCAUGCCGGAUAAAUUGGGAAGAGUUUGUCAAGGGUGACUAGAAAUGGUGUCAGCCUCCGACUGCCAACUAACUCUCGCUUAAAAGAGCUGCACAACAG
This 341-nucleotide unclassified non-coding RNA is filed under the name Hevea brasiliensis (rubber tree). Lineage: Eukaryota; Viridiplantae; Streptophyta; Magnoliopsida; Malpighiales; Euphorbiaceae. The record is from RNAcentral.